This is a non-coding RNA of Cardiosporidium cionae, 72 nucleotides long. Lineage: Eukaryota; Apicomplexa; Aconoidasida; Nephromycida. The record is from the annotation of a GenBank genome assembly.
GCGUCUGUAGUCUAGCGGUUAUGAUACCUGCCUUCCAAGCAGGUGAUCCGGGUUCGACUCCCGGCGGAUGCA